AAAAAGUAAACUCUGGAUUUCCGUGUCCAAUUUUGACUGUCCGUUUUAUAUAAAUUUUUUUUAUAAUUUGUAUUUUAAUUGUUGUUAGAUGAUAAAACAUGAUUAAUAUUUUAUGCGUGACUUGUUUUUUUUAAUUUUUUUCAUAAUUUUUUCAAAUAAGACGGACGGUCAAAUGUUAGACAUGGAAACAGGGUUUGUCUUUUU
RNAcentral lists this microRNA precursor (204 nucleotides) under Oryza rufipogon (brownbeard rice). Its description in RNAcentral is "MIR812 microRNA precursor family". It matches the Rfam family "MIR812 microRNA precursor family". The record is from Rfam by way of RNAcentral. Lineage: Eukaryota; Viridiplantae; Streptophyta; Magnoliopsida; Poales; Poaceae.